UCUGCAGUGGAUGGCAAUUGUUCUGUUGGCUGUUGGGACAGCCACUAGCCAGGUGCCACUGAAAAUACUUCCCUUUUUCCAAGCAAUGUUAACUUUGUGCCAUGUGAAUAAGACACGCAUAGCAUUUUAUAGGCAAUAGUCACAUCGUCAUUGAGCCAACCAAAUAUAAUGUUGAAGAAUGGUGAUGUUUCUUAAAUUUUAUUUUAUAUUCACAAUGAGCUUCUUUCUAUGUUAUACAAUAAGAAUAUAACUCCUAGCUACGAAUGUGACCAUCACUAUCAGAAUGACUCUUCUGUGGUCUCUUGAUAAAGGUAAAGGGCUGUGGAGAGGUUUCCUGUGACUCCCUUUUCUCUGCGCCAAUUCAGGGGUACACGUUAGGAAUUCUGUCUGCUUGUCUUUCAGCAGUAGCUGGCAUUUAUACAGAAUUCCUGAUGAAGAAGAACAAUGAUAGUUUAUACUGGCAGAACGUACAAUUAUAUACGUUUGGUGCAAUUUUCAACCUGGCUCGGCUUGUCCUGGAUGAUUUCAGAGGUGGAUUUGAGAAGGGACCAUGGUGGCAACGCCUCUUCAAUGGAUACACUAUGACAACCUGGGUGGUGGUAUUAAAUCUAGGGUGUUCUGGACUUUUAGUUUCUUGGUUAAUGAAAUAUGCUGACAACAUUGUCAAGGUGUAUUCGACAUCAAUGGCAAUGUUAUUGACUAUGGUUCUAUCUGUGUUCCUAUUUAGUUUCAGGCCAACGUUACAGCUCUUCUUGGGAAUUAUUAUUUGCAUGAUGUCGCUACACAUGUAUUUUGCACCCCCAGGCAUGCUAGUGGAUCUCCCUUCCGUGGGAAAAGCUGACCCAAAGAGUCUCAUGGAUGUUUCUAUUGAAAGAAGAACAGUCUCAUGAGUCAUGAUGUAUCCUUUUCGUUGAACGCUAACAAUUAUUCGGUUAGUUUUUGUUUAAAAUUGAUACUGUAAAAGCUAGCAUAUUUUUCCUGGUAAUCUGCUACAAAAAUAGAGCAUUGAUCACUUAUGAUAUUUAAUACCACCGUGGUCAUGUGCCAUACCUGUGGUGCGGAUCAUGCUGAAUUAAUGGCCUCUUGGUCCUGGGAAGAGAAGAGGAUGAAGAUAUCGGAUAUUAACAAGUGCAUUUUAUAUGGAAACAACAUCUGGCUAGUUGAUCAUGGGUGGAUCUCUGUCCUCAAUUGCCUGGAGUUCCAACCACCAACCGACAGUAAUUGUACAAAGAGUUAAGCCACCAUAUGUGGUCUAUACACCUUUUUGUUUUUUCCAUACUCUUGAUGACCAAUUAUUUUAGGUGUAACUGUGUUAAUAAUGCAAUGGCCGCCAUGUUGAAUAGUGUACUUCGCAUAGUAAAUGCACUUCGAUUAUUGAGGCAAUUGAUGCCCUCCUUGGAUGGUCGCGCAGGUAAUGUGUGGACCAGAAGAAUUGGGUGACUAUUUAUGUUUGCGUUGAUUCGACAAUCCACAAGGCCUUGUGGUACUGAAUUAUUGUCAUCUGCCCUAAAACUUGUGGAUUUAAUCAAUCGUUAAAGUAACGAAAAGAAAAAAAAGAAAGUUUC
Molecule: unclassified non-coding RNA, 1565 nt
Filed under: Hevea brasiliensis (rubber tree)
Lineage: Eukaryota; Viridiplantae; Streptophyta; Magnoliopsida; Malpighiales; Euphorbiaceae
Source: RNAcentral